Molecule: ribosomal RNA, 424 nt
Filed under: uncultured bacterium
Lineage: Bacteria
Description: bacterial SSU rRNA
Rfam family: Bacterial small subunit ribosomal RNA
Source: RNAcentral
UGAGGAAUAUUGCGCAAUGGAGGAAACUCUGACGCAGCCAUGCCGCGUGCAGGAAGACUGCCCUAUGGGUUGUAAACUGCUUUUAUAUAGGAAGAACUACAGCUACGUGUAGCUGUUUGACGGUACUAUACGAAUAAGGACCGGCUAACUCCGUGCCAGCAGCCGCGGUAAUACGGAGGGUCCAAGCGUUAUCCGGAUUUAUUGGGUUUAAAGGGUCCGUAGGCGGGUUAUUAAGUCAGUGGUGAAAUCCUACAGCUCAACUGUAGAACUGCCAUUGAAACUGAUAACCUUGAGUAUAAUUGAAGUGGGCGGAAUGUGUCAUGUAGCGGUGAAAUGCUUAGAUAUGCCACAGAACACCGAUUGCGAAGGCAGCUCACUAAAUUAUAACUGACGCUGAGGGACGAAAGCGUGGGUAGCGAACAGG